This 679-nucleotide ribosomal RNA is filed under the name Fusarium dlaminii. Its description in RNAcentral is "SSU rRNA". It matches the Rfam family "Bacterial small subunit ribosomal RNA", at positions 300 to 937 of the family's 1533-position model. The record is from RNAcentral. Lineage: Eukaryota; Fungi; Ascomycota; Sordariomycetes; Hypocreales; Nectriaceae.
GCUAACGGCUGAACUGGCAACUUGGAGAAGUGGCAAGUCUUCCAGUAUGGGGAGCAAAACAGCUAUGGGUCAAGUCCGAUAUCUUUAGGAGAAGUCUUAUUGUGAGGGCGAGUUUUAUAACACCAUAGGACUGGCCGCCCCAUAUGAAAAGAUUAUAUUAGAAUUGAAUGAAGCUUUGUUUAUAUAUUGAUAAUGACAGUAUAUAUAUCGUGUCUUGACUAAUUGCGUGCCAGCAGUCGCGGUAAUACGUAAGAGACUAGUGUUAUUCAUCUUAAUUAGGUUUAAAGGGUACCCAGACGGUCAAUAUAGCUUAUAAAAUGUUAGUACUUGACUAGAGUUUUAUGUAAGAGGGCAGUACUUGAGGAGGAGAGAUGAAAUUUCGUGAUACCAAAGGGACUCUGUAAAGGCGAAGGCAGCCCUCUAUGUAAAAACUGACGUUGAAGGACGAAGGCACAGAGAACAAACAGGAUUAGAUACCCAAGUAGUCUUUGCAGUAAAUGAUGAAUGCCAUAGGUUAGAUGGGUGGGUAGUCUAGUUGAGUUAGUUUAGCAAACUAAUGAUAUAGACGAGCCCACCAUAUAUUUGGUCUAUAAAUGAAAGUGUAAGCAUUUCACCUCAAGAGUAAUGUGGCAACGCAGGAACUGAAAUCACUAGACCGUUUCUGACACCAGUAGUGAAG